GUCAGACUCCAUUUUCACCUGGACGAGCAGAAGGAAGGAAAGUGAGCAGCAGUGGUCACCAACCAGUGGAGAGUCUUCACUGUGGAUCCCAGUAAAGCUCUGGAUUCACUGGCUGAGGUGUGAGGAGCAUCGACCUGCAGAGCCAGACUGAAGAUGAGUGGUUAUGAGGAGGAAGAGGAGGAAGAGGACAGAGCCGAGUCUCCAGGGUUCAGCUGUGUGUCUCUGAAGAGUGACAUGUCAAAAGGA
This is a long non-coding RNA of Limanda limanda (common dab), 246 nucleotides long. RefSeq lists it as uncharacterized. The transcript is spliced from 3 exons. The record is from RefSeq and is a predicted model, not a curated record. NCBI's taxonomy places the organism in Eukaryota, Metazoa, Chordata, Actinopteri, Pleuronectiformes, Pleuronectidae.